Molecule: long non-coding RNA, 924 nt
Organism: Poecilia latipinna (sailfin molly)
Lineage: Eukaryota; Metazoa; Chordata; Actinopteri; Cyprinodontiformes; Poeciliidae
Exons: 4
Source: RefSeq, a predicted model, not a curated record
GGUAAACUGGUUAAUAGAGUCAAAUAUACAAACCAAAAAAAAUGUUUUAACACUCAAAACUACUUUGGAUGCUUCAGUCACAGGCAGAGUAAUGCUGACCCAGUAAACGUCAGACCAUUCAUGUGAUUACCAUGUCUGCGUCCGAGUGGGGAGCGUGAGGAGGGGGAUUCAUGGCCGUGACGCACAGAAAAAUAGCGAUAAUCCGAACCGACCUGGAGCAGCUGAGCUGAGAGCCUGAUCCAGUUUUCAGGUCAGGAAGAAGAAAUAUCACAAGAGAACCGGAAAUAUUACAAACAUCCGCUUUUAGAGAUCAUCAAACUCGUCUGAAUAUCAGAGAAACAACAAGCAGAUUGGAGAGGAGGAGAGGAAACAGCCUGGCUCUUAUAAUAGAUGGGAAAGGUCAGAUGUUCUGCACAGUAAGCACGUCAGAGCGUGAACCUCUGCAUGCUGAGCAGAUUUUUGUGUGGAUCUCAUCAGGCGUCUCGUUCAAAGCGUGAGAAACUCCAGGCGGCCCACGCCCGGCUCUCAGCAGGCCUUCAAAGAUAAUUCAAACAAAAUGAAACACAAACAUGCUUUUGGCGCCGGGUCAGAUUCCUCUGCUUCACUGAUGAAUAACACUUUAAGAAAUGAAGCAGGUGAAUUCGCUACGGCAUUAAAAGAUUCUGAUAUCCAUUUGCUGAAAUGUUACUUUUAUGUUUAUCUUAUUCAAAGUGUAAUAAGGCAGACCAAAAUAUGUGGUAAGAUUUUGUGUCUUUGCAGUGUAAAUAAUGUAUCAGCAAUGAAAAUUGAAAUUCAGUACAUUAUUGGGAUAUGAUAUUUACCAGAAACAGUCAUUUUUGACAUGAAUUUUGGACCCGCAGUGAUGGUUUGUUUGCGGUACGUUGUGUGUGCGGCGUUAGAAUAAACCUGAGGAGAUGAUGAUCA